GACGAACGCUGGCGGCGUGCUUAACGCAUGCAAGUCGAACGGAAAGGCCCUGCUUUUGUGGGGUGCUCGAGUGGCGAACGGGUGAGUAACACGUGAGUAACCCGCCCUUGACUUUGGGAUAACUUCAGGAAACUGGGGCUAAUACCGGAUAGGAGCUCCUGCUGCAUGGUGGGGGUUGGAAAGUUUCGGCGGUUGGGGAUGGACUCGCGGCUUAUCAGCUUGUUGGUGGGGUAGUGGCUUACCAAGGCUUUGACGGGUAGCCGGCCUGAGAGGGUGACCGGCCACAUUGGGACUGAGAUACGGCCCAGACUCCUACGGGAGGCAGCAGUGGGGAAUAUUGCACAAUGGGCGGAAGCCUGAUGCAGCAACGCCGCGUGCGGGAUGACGGCCUUCGGGUUGUAAACCGCUUUCGCCUGUGACGAAGCGUGAGUGACGGUAAUGGGUAAAGAAGCACCGGCUAACUACGUGCCAGCAGCCGCGGUGAUACGUAGGGUGCGAGCGUUGUCCGGAUUUAUUGGGCGUAAAGGGCUCGUAGGUGGUUGAUCGCGUCGGAAGUGUAAUCUUGGGGCUUAACCCUGAGCGUGCUUUCGAUACGGGUUGACUUGAGGAAGGUAGGGGAGAAUGGAAUUCCUGGUGGAGCGGUGGAAUGCGCAGAUAUCAGGAGGAACACCAGUGGCGAAGGCGGUUCUCUGGGCCUUUCCUGACGCUGAGGAGCGAAAGCGUGGGGAGCGAACAGGCUUAGAUACCCUGGUAGUCCACGCUGUAAACGGUGGGUACUAGGUGUGGGGUCCAUUCCACGGGUUCCGUGCCGUAGCUAACGCUUUAAGUACCCCGCCUGGGGAGUACGGCCGCAAGGCUAAAACUCAAAGGAAUUGACGGGGCCCCGCACAAGCGGCGGAGCAUGCGGAUUAAUUCGAUGCAACGCGUAGAACCUUACCUGGGUUUGACAUGGAUCGGGAGCGCUCAGAGAUGGGUGUGCCUCUUUUGGGGUCGGUUCACAGGUGGUGCAUGGCUGUCGUCAGCUCGUGUCGUGAGAUGUUGGGUUAAGUCCCGCAACGAGCGCAACCCUUGUUCACUGUUGCCAGCACGUUAUGGUGGGGACUCAGUGGAGACCGCCGGGGUCAACUCGGAGGAAGGUGGGGAUGACGUCAAGUCAUCAUGCCCCUUAUGUCCAGGGCUUCACGCAUGCUACAAUGGCUGGUACAGAGAGUGGCGAGCCUGUGAGGGUGAGCGAAUCUCGGAAAGCCGGUCUCAGUUCGGAUUGGGGUCUGCAACUCGACCUCAUGAAGUCGGAGUCGCUAGUAAUCGCAGAUCAGCAACGCUGCGGUGAAUACGUUCCCGGG
This 1343-nucleotide ribosomal RNA is filed under the name uncultured bacterium. RNAcentral's name for it is "16S ribosomal RNA". It matches the Rfam family "Bacterial small subunit ribosomal RNA", at positions 28 to 1378 of the family's 1533-position model. The record is from RNAcentral.